Molecule: non-coding RNA, 29 nt
Filed under: Mus musculus (house mouse)
Lineage: Eukaryota; Metazoa; Chordata; Mammalia; Rodentia; Muridae
Source: RNAcentral
AUUGGACAUAGUACUACCUCAGGACCUAG